AGAAAGAAAAACCCCCAUGAAACACGGACUAUUUCAAGUGGACACACUUAUAAUAGAAGUCUUGAUCCAGUAUAACUGACCAACGAACCAAGUUACCCCAGGGAUAACAGCGCAAUCCCCUUCAAGAGUCCCUAUCGCCAAGGGGGUUUACGACCUCGAUGUUGGAUCAGGACAUCCUGAUGGUGUAGCCGCUAUCAAGGGUUCGUUUGUUCAACGAUUAACAGUCCU
This 228-nucleotide ribosomal RNA is filed under the name Uroplatus sikorae. RNAcentral's name for it is "partial large subunit ribosomal RNA". It matches the Rfam family "Bacterial large subunit ribosomal RNA", at positions 2353 to 2597 of the family's 2925-position model. The record is from RNAcentral. Lineage: Eukaryota; Metazoa; Chordata; Lepidosauria; Squamata; Gekkonidae.